CUAGGAAUAUUGGGCAAUGGGCGAAAGCCUGACCCAGCAACACCGCGUGAAGGACGACGGCCUUCGGGUUGUAAACUUCUUUUCGAGGGAAUGAGAAAGGACAGUACCCUCGGAAUAAGGCCCGGCUAACUACGUGCCAGCAGCCGCGGUAAUACGUAGGGGCCAAGCGUUAUCCGGAUUUACUGGGCGUAAAGCGCAUGUAGGCGGUCGAUCAAGUCGGAUGUGAAAGCUCCUGGCUUAACUGGGAGAGGUCAUUCGAAACUAGUCGGCUGGAGGGUGGUAGAGGAGAGCGGAAUUCCAGGUGUAGCGGUGAAAUGCGUAGAUAUCUGGAGGAACACCAGUGGCGAAAGCGGCUCUCUGGACCAUUCCUGACGCUGAGAUGCGAAAGCCAGGGGAGAGA
Molecule: ribosomal RNA, 400 nt
Filed under: uncultured bacterium
Lineage: Bacteria
Description: bacterial SSU rRNA
Rfam family: Bacterial small subunit ribosomal RNA
Source: RNAcentral